CCGAGCGCUCCGUGUAUCCGGGGAGCUGGGCGCGGUGCCGGCCGUCCAGCACCCGUCCCAGAUCCAAGCCAGCCUGGCCUAAAGCCGGAAGCCCAGGGUUGGAGUCUAGUUUUGCAAGAGGCCUUUGCGAGCUGGGCCAGGUCUGCGGCAACACAGGUUCGUGCCCCCGUCCGGGAAGAUCCCACAUGCCGCGGAGCGGCUGGGCCCGUGAGCCUGCGUGUCCGGAGCCUGUGCUCCGCAACGGGAGAGGCCACCACAGUGAGAGGCCCCCAUACCGCAAAAAAAAAAGGGGGGGGACAGUUGUUUUUCCUAGAGCACGGGGUGCCUCAUUGCUGAUCUCCAGCCAGAACUCCUUUCAGGGUGUGUGGAAGGUCAGCGAGUGCAGUGGCUAGGGACCCAACCCUUGUAGAGGCAGAUGAUAUCAAAAGUGAAGUGUUUACCACAGCUGAUUCUAACCAGCCGAAGCUGAUAAUGACUAAGAACUCUGAGCAAUUCCACUUAGGCCAGACGCUCAACAACUUAAUGGAAGAGUCUCCUGAAAAAACAAUGACAGGGGCUUCCCUGGUGGCGCAGUGGUUGGGAAUCCGCCUGCUAGUGCAGGGGACACGGGUUCAAGUUCUGGUCCGGGAGGAUCCCACAUGCCGUGGACCAACUGGGCCCGUGCACCACAACUACUAAGCCUGUGCUCUAGAGCCCGCGAGCCACAACUGCUGAGCCUGCGUGCCACAACUAUUGAAGCCCGCGCGCCUAGAGCCCGUGCUCAGCAACAAGGGAGGCCACCGCAGUGAAAGGCCCGUGCACCGCAACAAAGAUUAGCCCCCGCUCGCCGCAACUAGAGGGAGCCUUCGCGCAACGAAGAUCCAACGCAGCCUAAAUAAAAAAAUAAAUUUUAUCAUUUAAAAAAAAUGACAGGACUUGCCUUAACCAGCUGGGAUGAUUUAGGGAUUCAUUUCUCCCUAUGCAGAUGCAAGCUUCAAACCUUAGUUAAGCCCACCAUGAUCCUCCCCCUGCCUUUUAGACUUAAAAAAGUUGAACCACAGAGAAUUAGUUACCUAUAGUCCUAGCCCUUGGUUGAGCUAUUAUUUGAAAUAAGCUGUCCUACACCCUUAACUCUAC
This is a long non-coding RNA of Mesoplodon densirostris (Blainville's beaked whale), 1116 nucleotides long. RefSeq lists it as uncharacterized. The record is from RefSeq and is a predicted model, not a curated record. Lineage: Eukaryota; Metazoa; Chordata; Mammalia; Artiodactyla; Ziphiidae. The transcript is spliced from 4 exons.